This 253-nucleotide ribosomal RNA is filed under the name uncultured bacterium. RNAcentral's name for it is "partial 16S ribosomal RNA". It matches the Rfam family "Bacterial small subunit ribosomal RNA", at positions 524 to 776 of the family's 1533-position model. The record is from RNAcentral.
UACGUAGGCAGCAAGCGUUGUUCGGAAUUACUGGGCGUAAAGAGUGUGUAGGCGGUGCUCUAAGUUUGGUGUGAAAUCUCCCGGCUCAACCGGGAGGCUGCAUCGAAUACUGGAAUGCUAGAGGGUGGGAGAGGUAAGCGGAAUUCCUGGUGUAGCGGUGAAAUGCGUAGAUAUCAGGAGGAACACCGGUGGCGAAGGCGGCGACCUGGGUGGAUACUGACGCUGAGGUGCGAAAGCGUGGGGAGCAAACAGG